Molecule: transfer RNA, 77 nt
Filed under: Shewanella piezotolerans WP3
Lineage: Bacteria; Pseudomonadati; Pseudomonadota; Gammaproteobacteria; Alteromonadales; Shewanellaceae
Description: tRNA-Pro
Source: RNAcentral
GCAUUUCAUUAGUUGUUGUAGGAUUCAUUAUAUUUAAGACCCUUAAUCAUUUGUUUUGAGCCAGCGGCUCUUAGCUA